Molecule: ribosomal RNA, 361 nt
Filed under: Deltaproteobacteria bacterium
Lineage: Bacteria; Pseudomonadati; Myxococcota; Myxococcia
Description: bacterial SSU rRNA
Rfam family: Bacterial small subunit ribosomal RNA
Source: RNAcentral
GGUGGGGAUGACGUCAAGUCCUCAUGGCCCUUACGGGCUGGGCUACACACGUGCUACAAUGGUGGUGACAGUGGGCAGCGAGAUCGCAAGGUCGAGCUAAUCUCCAAAAGCCAUCUCAGUUCGGAUUGCACUCUGCAACUCGGGUGCAUGAAGUUGGAAUCGCUAGUAAUCGUGGAUCAGCAUGCCACGGUGAAUACGUUCCCGGGCCUUGUACACACCGCCCGUCACACCAUGGGAGUUGGUUCUACCCGAAGGCGAUGCGCUAACCGCAAGGAGGCAGUCGACCACGGUAGGGUCAGCGACUGGGGUGAAGUCGUAACAAGGUAGCCGUAGGGGAACCUGCGGCUGGAUCACCUCCUUU